This 535-nucleotide ribosomal RNA is filed under the name uncultured Acidobacteriota bacterium. RNAcentral's name for it is "bacterial SSU rRNA". It matches the Rfam family "Bacterial small subunit ribosomal RNA", at positions 8 to 522 of the family's 1533-position model. The record is from RNAcentral. Lineage: Bacteria; Pseudomonadati; Acidobacteriota.
AGAGUUUGAUCAUGGCUCAGAAUCAACGCUGGCGGCGUGCCUCAGACAUGCAAGUCGAACGCGAAAGUCCCCUUCGGGGGACAAGUAGAGUGGCGCACGGGUGAGUAACACGUAGGUAAUCUACCUUCGGGUGGGGAAUAACAAUCGGAAACGGUUGCUAAUACCGCAUAAUGCAGCGGCACCUAAUGGUGACAGUUGUUAAAGCGGGGGAUCGAAAGAUCUCGCGCCUGAAGAGGAGCCUGCGGCGGAUUAGCUAGUUGGUAGGGUAAUGGCCUACCAAGGCGACGAUCCGUAGCCGGCCUGAGAGGGCGGUCGGCCACACUGACACUGACAUACGGGUCAGACUCCUACGGGAGGCAGCAGUCGGGAAUUUUGGGCAAUGGGCGAAAGCCUGACCCAGCAACGCCGCGUGAAGGAUGAAAUCCCUCGGGAUGUAAACUUCGCAAGAACGGGAAGAAUUAGUGGAAGUUAAUACCUUCCAUGAUGACGGUACCGUUUGUAAGCUCCGGCUAACUCCGUGCCAGCAGCCGCGGUA